UAGAGCUUUAAGGGUUAGAACGACACCCUAAAAUCUUAAUUUAUUAAAUUUUUGCAACUGCAAAUAGAAACAUGCAAACACAAACAAAAUUGUAUUCUUGCUCAACCAUUAACUAACAUUUUACUUAAAAAAUGGUAUGAUAAAGAUUAAUAUUAAAUUAGAGUGGUAUCAUGUGAAAUUUCAAAAUAACAGUGGUACAAAAUGAAAAAGCCAAAAAUUCAAUGGUACCAAAUGGAAUAUCCCUUUAAAAUUUAAUAUCUUUUUAAUUAAUACUAAUGCAGUAUAAGUUUUAUAUAUGAAACUAUUUACUUUUAAAUUUAUGCAACAAAUACAAUAGAAAAAAAAACUACCUCUCCUAAUAUUAUUCUAGAUCGUGGUGAUUAAUACUUGUCAAAAGAAAAAAAAAAACUAAAAUUACUACGCCAUUACUUCUUGCACCAUAGCAACUUACGCCAUUACUUCUUGCACCAUAGCAACUUACGCCAUAGCUUGAACAAUCUCAUAGCUUCAGUCGACUCGCACACCAUCCCUACAACCACCACUCCCCAUAAUCCGAAAAUUCUCCCCCAUAAUAUCAAAUUCUUCCAUCAAAAUUUCACCUUUGCUUUCGUAAAAUUCAUAAUCAGGGCUCUCACAUUGUUCAAGUCGUCAAGUUGUGAUUCCCGUCAAUUCUUUUCAUCAAUUCUUCUGGAAUUUUUGUUUCUUUUCGUCAAUUUGUGAUUCUUUUGGAAAGAAAAUUUAUUUUCGACAAAUUAUAAAAUUGGUGCACUUGUAAAGGUGUGGCUUGUGUUGUUGCUAGCACCUUGAAUUGCAUUGUCUAUACGUGGAUUAAUUAGCUUUAUAGCAGACUUGAUCAUCCUCUGAGGCUUCGCUGGAUGGUGGAGACAGAUAGUUGUCAUUGACACCCAUCCCCUGAUGAUUAAGAAAGGAUUAAGAGAGAGAAACUUUUAAUACUCAACAAAUUGACUUUUUAAUUCCCAAAAAUUUGGUUCUUUGACUUGAAGGAUACUAACCAAAAUUUGCUUGUGCAUCUUUUCAUGCUAUAAUCACAAAAGGGUUCCGACAAUGAUGUGACAAGUUCUUAUGGUUAGUAAGAGAUUAAAUGCAAGCUGGCGUUCACAGGAGAGAUAAACUUUGCCAGUUGACUGCAUUGAGAUAGUUGAGCUUGUACAUUGUUGUGAGAUGAAGCUGAUAGAAUACUACUAAAAAAACAAGGAUCCACCUAUUCAGAUAAACUUUUAUCUCAUCAUUAACAAAACCAGCGUAGGAGGAUGUAUGACAUGUAACACAGAACCAAAAAGAACUCAUUUGACAUUCUAAGUAAAUCUAGAAGGGGUUCACAGUACAAAAAGACCGUAGAAAAUGGAUCUUGUCUCGUGCUAAUGAUCGAUGGAGGGCUUUCAAGACAAGAUUAAGAAAGUUAUGGUUAUACAGUUUUGUGUAAUAAUAUAUCUAAAAAUAUACUAUAUAUAAUGACACAUUUGAAUUGAAAUAGUUAUGUCAGUUGUUGAUUUAUCUGAACUUUUUUCAUGACAGUAUCCUCGUCAAGCUCUGGGCUCCAAGGAUUGUGGCUAUUAUGUAUGUCGUUACAUGAUUGAAACUAUCGCAAGUAGACGACAAUUAAUUCCUGAUAAGUACUUUCCACGGAUUCCUAGCACUUAUUCCCAAGAGAUGAUUGACGAGUUAAGAGAUAUGUGGGUGGAUUAUUUAAACAAUCAAACACAAGACGAUGGAGAUUGAAGACGACGGUCAAGUUUGAAUUGUACAUAUUACUUAAUUAUUUUAGAAUUUUAGUUAUAGUAGCUAGCAUUAGAUUAUAGGAAUUUUAUUUUAAGACAUUAUUAGAAGAAAUUGAUGUUUUGAAUAAAAUUGAUUUUGUAUAUAAAUUAAAUGUAUCAAAUAUUUUUUUGACA
Long non-coding RNA from Beta vulgaris subsp. vulgaris (sugar beet), 1913 nucleotides. RefSeq lists it as uncharacterized. The record is from RefSeq and is a predicted model, not a curated record. The transcript is spliced from 5 exons. NCBI's taxonomy places the organism in Eukaryota, Viridiplantae, Streptophyta, Magnoliopsida, Caryophyllales, Amaranthaceae.